RNAcentral lists this ribosomal RNA (465 nucleotides) under uncultured bacterium. Its description in RNAcentral is "partial 16S ribosomal RNA". It matches the Rfam family "Bacterial small subunit ribosomal RNA", at positions 29 to 506 of the family's 1533-position model. The record is from RNAcentral.
ACGAACGCUAGCGGGAUGCUUCAAACAUGCAAGUCGCACGCGAAAGGGGGCAACUCCAAGUAGAGUGGCGCACGGGUGAGUAACACGUAGCUAACGUACCCUCACGCUGGGGAUAACUCCGGGAAACCGGAGCUAAUACCGAAUGAACUGUCGAGGUCUGCGGACUUCGCCGGGAAAGCCGUAAGGCGCGUGAGGAUCGGGCUGCGUCCGAUUAGCUUGUUGGUAGGGUAACGGCCUACCAAGGCGACGAUCGGUAGCUGGUCUGGGAGGACGACCAGCCACACUGGAACUGAAGCACGGUCCAGACUCCCACGGGAGGCAGCAGUUGGGAAUUUUGCACAAUGGAGGAAACUCUGAUGCAGCAAUCCCGCGUGAGUGAUGAAGGCCUUCGGGUCGUAAAGCUCUUUUAGCAGGGAAAAAGGGUAACUUGAUGGUACCUGCAGAAAAAGCACCGGCUAACUACGU